CUGCGGCAUUUCCAGCCCAGCUCUUCUGCGCAGCUUGUUGGGCGGCCCACACUCAGGGCCAUCUCACCAAUAAGCUCUGCCCAGCUUGCCGGGCAUGCCAGCCAUCCACUUCCAGCUAGUUUCCCUGGGACCUUGGUGGCAUGGUUUGUGGAUGUAAAGUCUGGAAUCACAGCAGCUAUUCUGCCAACAUAAGGGAUGCUGUCUUGAGGAUGAAGCCUAAUACCUGUCAGCAGGACAGGCAGUUGUGAAGAAAGUGGUUCUCUGAUAUCACUGAGCCCUGAAGACUACCUUGCCCCUGGACUUUUCAGUUAUGUCAGCUGCCUCAGGUCCUGAGCUUAAGUGUAUUUAUCAAAAAAGCUUAAAGAGUGAUCCUUCCUCCCGAAGUAUCAGGUGUGUAUUUGUUUGGCAUGGAACUGCUAUUGAAAUUAUAAGUGAAAACUUUGAGAAGUGCUUAGGUUGGCCAGGAGGGUGAAGUUUGGGAUCAGUGGUUAGCCAAUCAGAUUAGCCAGUGAGUAGCUCUUGUUUUUAAUUUUUCUUAAUUAUAGCAAGUGAUCGCUGAUGCCUUCCCAGUUCAGAAGGAAAGGAGGUGAAGGCAGGAAGUAGAAAAAAAAACUCUCAAUCAUUAGCCUUGGAUUUGUGCCCUGUCUUUGGAAUCCUCUUCUUUUUCUCAGUGGGAGAAUGUCAUGCGCUGUCACUGGGAUUCGAAGCCUUCCAGCAUCUUUGUUAUUGGUUCAGAUAUAGAACAGAGUCAGGUAAUUAUGUGGAGUGGACAAAAGUGUUUCCUUUCCAUCAAGUGGUGUGGCCCUAUCUGCAGUGACACACUGGCGGGCCCUCUGGGGAGGCGUCUGCAGCCCUGUCAGAGGAGCUGAGCUGGGUGCUGUGAAGAGAGUAGGGCUCCAGGCCGCCUGCACUCACUUAGGACUCGUGGAGCUCCAGCCCAUUGAGAGCUUAACGAAGAAAUCCGACAAACUGUUUCCUUCCAAGAGAAACAGACAGGUUCCUAUUUUCUCUUGGUUAUGUCCAACA
Manis javanica (Malayan pangolin) is the source of this 1026-nucleotide non-coding RNA. Lineage: Eukaryota; Metazoa; Chordata; Mammalia; Pholidota; Manidae. The record is from RefSeq and is a predicted model, not a curated record.